GACGAACGCUGGCGGCGUGCUUAACACAUGCAAGUCGAACGGAAAGGCCCUGCUUUUGUGGGGUGCUCGAGUGGCGAACGGGUGAGUAACACGUGAGUAACCUGCCCUUGACUUUGGGAUAACUUCAGGAAACUGGGGCUAAUACCGGAUAGGAGCUCCUGCUGCAUGGUGGGGGUUGGAAAGUUUCGGCGGUUGGGGAUGGACUCGCGGCUUAUCAGCUUGUUGGUGGGGUAGUGGCUUACCAAGGCUUUGACGGGUAGCCGGCCUGAGAGGGUGAACGGCCACAUUGCGACUGAGGUACGCACCAGUCGCCUACGGGAGGCAACAGUGGGGAAUAUUGCACAAUGGGCGGAAGCCUGAUGCAGCGACGCCGCGUGCGGGAUGACGGCCUUCUGGUUAUGAACCGCUUUCGCCUGUGACGAAGCGUGAGUGACGGUAAUGAAUAAAGAAGCACCGGCUAACUACGUG
Molecule: ribosomal RNA, 468 nt
Filed under: uncultured bacterium
Lineage: Bacteria
Description: partial 16S ribosomal RNA
Rfam family: Bacterial small subunit ribosomal RNA
Source: RNAcentral